GGGGGGGCAAGCGUUUGUUCGGAAUUACUGGGCGUAAAGGGCGCGUAGGCGGACGGGAAAGUCUUUCGUGAAAUCCCACGGCUCAACCGUGGAACUGCGGGAGAUACUACUCGUCUUGAAUUCGGGAGAGGAGUGUGGAAUUCCCAGUGUAGCGGUGAAAUGCGUAGAUAUUGGGAGGAACACCGGUGGCGAAGGCGGCACUCUGGACCGAUACUGACGCUGAGGCGCGAAAGCGUAGGGGAGCAAACGGGAUUAGAUACCCGGUAGUCCUAGCUGUAAACGCUGAGCACUUGGUGUAGCGGUAUCGACCCCUGCUGUGCCGAAGCUAACGCAUUAAGUGCUCCGCCUGGGGAGUACGGUCGCAAGGCUG
RNAcentral lists this ribosomal RNA (370 nucleotides) under uncultured organism. RNAcentral's name for it is "partial 16S ribosomal RNA". It matches the Rfam family "Bacterial small subunit ribosomal RNA", at positions 528 to 896 of the family's 1533-position model. The record is from RNAcentral.